Molecule: non-coding RNA, 72 nt
Organism: Podarcis lilfordi (Lilford's wall lizard)
Lineage: Eukaryota; Metazoa; Chordata; Lepidosauria; Squamata; Lacertidae
Source: the annotation of a GenBank genome assembly
CCUAGGAUGGCUCAGUCUGUAGAGCUUGAGACUCUUCAUCUCAUGGUUCUGGGUUCAAGCCGCAAUGUAGGG